GGGUCAGUAGGUUGGUCGUGCCACCGGUACGUACUGGUCUCACUGAUUCCUCCUUCCUGAAGAACCGUAAUGCCAUUAAUUUGGUGUUGCGGGGAAACAGGACUGUUACUUUGAAAAAAUUAGAGUGUUUAAAGCGAGCUAACGCUUGAAUACAUUAGCAUGGAAUAAUGGAAUAGGACGAUCGAUCCUAUUUUGUUGGUUUCUAGGAUUGACGUA
RNAcentral lists this ribosomal RNA (216 nucleotides) under Glomeromycotina sp. RNAcentral's name for it is "partial small subunit ribosomal RNA". The stretch from base 40 to 216 matches the Rfam family "Eukaryotic small subunit ribosomal RNA", at positions 686 to 864 of the family's 1831-position model. Lineage: Eukaryota; Fungi; Glomeromycota. The record is from RNAcentral.